Molecule: long non-coding RNA, 2964 nt
Filed under: Penaeus japonicus
Lineage: Eukaryota; Metazoa; Arthropoda; Malacostraca; Decapoda; Penaeidae
Description: uncharacterized LOC122242161
Source: RNAcentral
CUUCCUUCCCUUCUUCCUUCCAUCCUUCUUUCCAUCCUUCCUUUUUUCUCCCUUCCUCCCUCUCUCUUACAUUGUCCAAUUUUCUAUAUAACCACUUCUAUCUUUAUCCUUCCCCUCUUCUUGUUCUCUUAUUUUCCUUCUUCCCUCCUUCCAUCUUUUUUUUUCCUUUCCUCUCUUCUUUCAUUACUUCCUUUUGUUCCAUUCCCUUCUUCCUUCGUUUCUUUCCCCAUCCAUUCAUGUCCUCAUUUAAUAUGCCCUUUCCAUCCUCCUCCUUCUCUCUUGUUUCAAACUUUUCUUCCUUUCUUCCUCCUAUCUCCCCUUAUCUCUCCAGCUUCCUUCUUCUUUUCCCUACGUUUCCUCCUUCGUUCGUGCCCUUCCCAAACGAAAGGAAUCUCUUUUUCGUUUUAUAUGCCCUUUCCAUCCAUUCUCCUGUUUUUCUCUUAUUUCCAACUUUUUUUCUCUUCCUCUUUUCCUCCUAUCUCCCCUUAUCUCUCCAGCUUCCUUCCUCUCUUCCCUCCGUUUCCUCCUUCGUUCGUGUCCUUCCCAAACGAAAGGAAUCUCUUUUUCUUGUCUGAGGCUUCUUUUUGUAUCUCCUUCCACCCAGGGACAGGCACCCGAGGCCGAAGACGAGAACACCCCCGAGAAGAGAGUGGAUAAAAUCUUCUCCCAAAUGGACAAAAACAACGACGAAAAGCUUACCCUUGAGGAGUUCAAAGAGGGUUCCAAAGCUGACCCUCGAAUCGUACAGGCGCUGUCUCUUGGCGACAACUAAAUGCCCCAAGUUCAUCCUACUCAAAUGUGAUGCUCAAGGUCAAGCACCUGAAGCCGAUGACGAGAACGCCCCGCAGAAGAGAGUCGACCAGAUUUUCUCCCAGAUGGACAAGAACCACGACGAGAAGCUCACCCUCGAGGAGUUCAAGGAGGGCUCUAAGGCUGACCCCAGGAUCGUCGAGGCCCUUUCACUAGGGGACAACUGAAGCCUUCGAGUCCUCAUCCUCCUGAUUCUUAAUCCUGAUCCUGUUUCACCUACAGCCCCUACGUCCUCUUCUUCCUAGUCUUUCAUCCACAUCCUCCACUUCCUCCUAUAUUUGUUCCUCCUCUUUUUCCUCCUUCUUCUAUCCUUCUUCCUCCUCCUCCUCGUCGUCGUCGUCCUCCUCGUCUUCGUCCUCGUCGUCGUCGUCGUCGUCGUCCUCCUCCUCCUCCUCCUCCUCCUCCUCCUCCUCCUCGUCCUCCUCCUCCUCCUCCUCUUCCUCCUCUUCCUCUUCCUCCUCAUCGUGACACUCACAAGUCGUCUUUCAACGGCGGACCUUCAGGUGGCGAUCUACUGAGCGAGAAAGGGUUCCCACCAUCGACACUCGCCGACGUCGUCUUCAAAAUGUUCAACAAAGUGUUUUCGAGAAAAUGGAAGCCUUUUUUUGGUCUUUUUUGUAUCUCUUUUUGUGUCAUUUUGUCCUUGGUUCUCUGUCGAACUGGAUAGCUUGAGCACUUGCCCAUGUAUUGUUAUUACUCUGAAUAGCAGUUAAUCAAUACGUGAUACUCAUUACGAGAUGUAUGAAGGAAACAUAUAUAUAUAUAUAUAUAAUACACGUUUGAUAUAUAAUAAUUUCUUUAGGGAAUGUUGGUUAAUGGAUGUGUUGAUCUGUACCUGUAAUCGUAUGUUAUCUGGUCUAAGCAAAAUAAUAUUCCCACGUUCUCACGCCAGACUUCAAUAUUUAACUCACUAUUUGAAGAUAAUUCUGUAUAACGCAUAGACUACGUUUCUCUAUGACGCAUUACGCAUUUCUUUUCUUUUUUUCGUUAUUUUUUUUAUAACACCAUUACUCAAGCCAUUAUAUUCCACUCUCCACACUACUUUUGAUUACCGUACUUUCUGCAUGAAUCAAAAACACAAUCAUAAUAAUUAUUUAAAGAGGACAAGAAAAGGAAAAUAAAUCUGUUAAUGACGACAGGUUUGAAGCGUCGAUAACAAACCUCACAUCACACAUGACAAUUUUUCAGCGUUCUCAAAUGUCAAUGAGCAUUUGUAUGUCUAGCACGUCACCAAAUAAUCUUUAUCAUAUAUCUUUGAAGACUUCAUUAAAAAAAAAAAAGAGAGAGAGAGAUGCGUAGAUCUUGAACCCUACCAAUCUUUAAACUAGGUAAGGAAGAUAGAAAAAAAAAAAAGUUUCUAGAACAAGGUCCGAACUCUUUACUCCCUAAAAAAAAAAAAAAAAAAAAACAUGGGUAGGGGAACUGCCGGUGUAGUCGAAUCAUGAUUAUUAUGAUGAUGAUAAUCAAUAACUAAUGCUGGUUAAGACACGUACUUAAUCAACUGAAUUCAGUCUAUAAACGGACGAAUCCAGGCGUGGUUCCAGUCACUUGCCUGGCAACCAAUCAAAUCAAAGUUUGCAAAUGGUGAAUGCACCAAUCAACUCACGGGAUACGUAUCAGUGUAUAAAAUGCAAUGAAUGGCAUCCACAUUCAUCCAAAAAACGACUGUCUAGGUUCACUUCAUAGAUUGAAUGUUCAGAGUUCAGAGUUGGGGCCUCUGUCGUGUAGAUAUUAGACGUAUUAUCUGCAGAGGAACAUUUCAAAACACUUGCUCAUAACUGCAGGUCAAUGAGGAAAAAAUAAUUAAUAAUAAUAAUAAUUAAUAAUAAUAAUAAUAAUAUAAUAUAAUAAUAAUAAUAAGUUUGGCUUUGUUUGUACGCUUAGAAAGAUGCAUGAGAGCAGCAUUUUAUCAUCAAAGAAUUUUUGGACAAUAUACCGUUAUAAUCCUUUUGUCAUGGGCGUUACUAUUGAUAAACAUAGACAUUAAUGACCAUUCUUUUCAUCACUGCCUUUUCGUUCCGUUAUUGUUCAAGGGAAGUCGAGCGAAGCCAAACAAAAUGGCGACGUAUUUCCUGCUUCCUUUAUCUGUUUUUCCAACACCACCACCGAUGUUACAAAAAAAAAAAAUAUUAAAAAAAUGAAAAAAAAAAAAAA